This 405-nucleotide ribosomal RNA is filed under the name uncultured bacterium. RNAcentral describes it as "bacterial SSU rRNA". It matches the Rfam family "Bacterial small subunit ribosomal RNA", at positions 100 to 507 of the family's 1533-position model. The record is from RNAcentral.
CACGGGUGCGUAACGCGUAGGUAAUCUGCCAUGAGGUCUGACAUAACCCGUCGAAAGGCGGGCUAACAUCAGAUGAUAUAUAAUCACGACAUCGUGGAAAUAUCAAAUCUUCGGAGCCUUGGGAUGAGCCUGCGUCUGAUUAGGUAGUUGGCGGAGUAAUAGCCCACCAAGCCUACGAUCAGUAGCUGGUCUGAGAGGAUGAUCAGCCACACUGGAACUGAGACACGGUCCAGACUCCUACGGGAGGCAGCAGUAAGGAAUAUUGCUCAAUGGGGGAAACCCUGAAGCAGCAACGCCGCGUGAAGGAUGAAAUUACUUUUGUAUGUAAACUUCUGUAAGAUGGGAAAAAUAUUCUCCUCGGGAGAAUUGAUUGUACCAUCAGAGUAAGCCCCGGCUAACUACGUG